This 424-nucleotide ribosomal RNA is filed under the name Verrucomicrobiota bacterium. Its description in RNAcentral is "Verrucomicrobia bacterium partial 16S ribosomal RNA". It matches the Rfam family "Bacterial small subunit ribosomal RNA", at positions 355 to 776 of the family's 1533-position model. Lineage: Bacteria; Pseudomonadati; Verrucomicrobiota. The record is from RNAcentral.
UGAGGAAUAUUGGUCAAUGGGCGAGAGCCUGAACCAGCCAAGUAGCGUGCAGGAUGACGGCCCUAUGGGUUGUAAACUGCUUUUAUAUGGGAAUAAAGUGAGGGACGUGUCCCUUAUUGCAUGUACCAUACGAAUAAGGACCGGCUAAUUCCGUGCCAGCAGCCGCGGUAAUACGGAAGGUCCAGGCGUUAUCCGGAUUUAUUGGGUUUAAAGGGAGCGUAGGCUGUUUGUUAAGCGUGUUGUGAAAUGUAGGAGCUCAACUUUUAGAUUGCAGCGCGAACUGGCAGACUUGAGUGCGCACAACGUAGGCGGAAUUCAUGGUGUAGCGGUGAAAUGCUUAGAUAUCAUGACGAACUCCGAUUGCGAAGGCAGCUUACGGGAGCGCAACUGACGCUGAAGCUCGAAGGUGCGGGUAUCGAACAGG